This 238-nucleotide ribosomal RNA is filed under the name uncultured bacterium. RNAcentral's name for it is "partial 16S ribosomal RNA". It matches the Rfam family "Bacterial small subunit ribosomal RNA", at positions 532 to 769 of the family's 1533-position model. The record is from RNAcentral.
AUCCAAGCGUUAUCCGGAUUUAUUGGGUUUAAAGGGUCCGUAGGCGGACUGGUAAGUCAGCUGUGAAAGUUUGCGGCUUAACCGUAAAAUUGCAGUUGAUACUGUCAGUCUUGAGUGUGCAUGAGGUGGGCGGAAUUUGUGGUGUAGCGGUGAAAUGCUUAGAUAUCACGAGGAACUCCAAUUGCGAAGGCAGCUCACUGGGGCAUAACUGACGCUGAUGCACGAAGGUGUGGGUAUC